This 716-nucleotide ribosomal RNA is filed under the name uncultured euryarchaeote. Its description in RNAcentral is "bacterial SSU rRNA". It matches the Rfam family "Archaeal small subunit ribosomal RNA", at positions 146 to 867 of the family's 1478-position model. The record is from RNAcentral. Lineage: Archaea; Methanobacteriati; Methanobacteriota.
ACAAUACCGGAUAGGGCAUCGAUUGCUGGAAUGCACGAUGUCCAAAAGUUGAGGCGCCCAAGGAUAGGUCUGCGGCCGAUUAGGUCGUUGUUGAUGUAAUGGAUCAACAAGCCUGCAAUCGGUACGGGUUGUGAGAGCAAGAGCCCGGAGAUGGGUUCUGAGAAAAGAACCCAGGUCCUACGGGACGCAUCAGGCGCGAAAACUUUACAAUGUGCGAAAGCACGAUAAGGGAACUCUGAGUGCCUCCUAUGGAGGCUGUUCGGGUGUCUAAAAAGCACUUGAAGUAAGGGCUGGGUAAGACCGGUGCCAGCCGCCGCGGUAACACCGGCAGCCCAAGUGGUAGCCAUGCUUAUUGGGUCUAAAGCGUCCGUAGCCGGCCAGGUAAGUUCUUUGGGAAAUUUAACCGCUCAACGGUUAAGCUUUCAGGGAAUACUGCUUGGCUUGGGACCGGGAGAGGUCAGAGGUACUUCAAGGGUAGGGGUGAAAUCCGUUAAUCCUUGAGGGACCACCAGUAGCGAAGGCGUCUGACCAGACCGGGUCCGACGGUGAGGGACGAAGGCUAGGGUCGCGAACCGGAUUAGAUACCCGGGUAGUCCUAGCUGUAAACGAUGCGGGCCAGGUGUUGGCAUUACUGCGAGUGAUGUCAGUGCCCAAGGGAAGCCGUUAAGCCCGCCUUCUGGGGAGUACGGUCGCAAGGCUGAAACUUAAAGGAAAUU